UGGCGGACGGGUGAGUAAUGUCUGGGAAACUGCCUGAUGGAGGGGGAUAACUACUGGAAACGGUAGCUAAUACCGCAUAACGUCGCAAGACCAAANAGGGGGACCUUCGGGCCUCUUGCCAUCGGAUGUGCCCAGAUGGGAUUAGCUUGUUGGUGGGGUAAUGGCUCACCAAGGCGACGAUGCGUAGCCGACCUGAGAGGGUGAUCGGCCACAUUGGGACUGAGACACGGCCCAGACUCCUACGGGAGGCAGCAUG
RNAcentral lists this ribosomal RNA (256 nucleotides) under uncultured bacterium. RNAcentral's name for it is "partial 16S ribosomal RNA". It matches the Rfam family "Bacterial small subunit ribosomal RNA", at positions 96 to 353 of the family's 1533-position model. The record is from RNAcentral.